Molecule: transfer RNA, 70 nt
Filed under: Leptodactylus fallax (mountain chicken frog)
Lineage: Eukaryota; Metazoa; Chordata; Amphibia; Anura; Leptodactylidae
Description: tRNA-Thr
Rfam family: tRNA
About the family: Transfer RNA (tRNA) molecules are approximately 80 nucleotides in length. Their secondary structure includes four short double-helical elements and three loops (D, anti-codon, and T loops).
Source: RNAcentral
GCUAUAGUAGCUUAAACCAAAGCGUUGGUCUUGUAAACCAAAGAAUGAAGUAUAAACCCCUCCUAAAGCU